This 592-nucleotide ribosomal RNA is filed under the name uncultured beta proteobacterium. RNAcentral describes it as "bacterial SSU rRNA". It matches the Rfam family "Bacterial small subunit ribosomal RNA", at positions 68 to 655 of the family's 1533-position model. The record is from RNAcentral. Lineage: Bacteria; Pseudomonadati; Pseudomonadota; Betaproteobacteria.
GGCAGCACGGGGGCAACCCUGGUGGCGAGUGGCGAACGGGUGAGUAAUACAUCGGAACGUGUCCAGUCGUGGGGGAUAACCAGUCGAAAGACUGGCUAAUACCGCAUGCGCCCGAAAGGGGAAAGCGGGGGACCGCAAGGCCUCGCGCGAUUGGAGCGGCCGAUGUCCGAUUAGCUAGUUGGUGAGGUAACGGCUCACCAAGGCUACGAUCGGUAGCUGGUCUGAGAGGACGACCAGCCACACUGGGACUGAGACACGGCCCAGACUCCUACGGGAGGCAGCAGUGGGGAAUUUUGGACAAUGGGGGCAACCCUGAUCCAGCCAUGCCGCGUGUGUGAUGAAGGCCUUCGGGUUGUAAAGCACUUUCGGACGGAACGAAAUUGCACGGGCGAAUAUCCCGUGUGGAUGACGGUACCGUAAGAAGAAGCACCGGCUAACUACGUGCCAGCAGCCGCGGUAAUACGUAGGGUGCGAGCGUUAAUCGGAAUUACUGGGCGUAAAGGGUGCGCAGGCGGCCCCGCAAGUCAGGCGUGAAAUCCCCGAGCUUAACUUGGGAAUUGCGCUUGAAACUACGGGGCUGGAGUGUGGCAGA